UACGUAGGGGGCAAGCGUUGUCCGGAAUCAUUGGGCGUAAAGAGCGUGUAGGCGGCCCGAUAAGUCCGCCGUGAAAGCCCAGGGCUCAACCCUGGGAUGCCGGUGGAUACUGUCGGGCUAGAAUCCGGAAGAGGCGAGUGGAAUUCCUGGUGUAGCGGUGAAAUGCGCAGAUAUCAGGAGGAACACCGGUGGCGAAGGCGGGUCUCUGGGCAGUAACUGACGCUGAGGAGCGAAAGCGUGGGGAGCGAACAGG
Molecule: ribosomal RNA, 253 nt
Filed under: uncultured bacterium
Lineage: Bacteria
Description: partial 16S ribosomal RNA
Rfam family: Bacterial small subunit ribosomal RNA
Source: RNAcentral